ACGGGAGGCAGCAGUGAGGAAUAUUGGUCAAUGGGCGGAAGCCUGAACCAGCCAAGUCGCGUGAAGGAUGAAGGUAUUAUGUAUUGUAAACUUCUUUAGACGUAGAGAAAUAAGGGGAUCGUGAUCCCUGAUGCUAGUAUACGUAGAAUAAGGAUCGGCUAACUCCGUGCCAGCAGCCGCGGUAAUACGUAGGGAGCAAGCGUUAUCCGGAUUUACUGGGUGUAAAGGGCGUGUAGGCGGGACAUCAAGUCAGAUGUGAAAGCACGAGGCUCAACUUCGUGUCUGCAUUUGAAACUGACGUUCUUGAGUGUUGGAGAGGCUAACGGAACUCCUAGUGUAGCGGUGAAAUGCGUAGAUAUUAGGAAGAACACCAGUGGCGAAGGCGGUUAGCUGGACAAUAACUGACGCUGAGGCGCGAAAGCGUGGGUAGCAAACAGGAUUAGAUACCCUGGUA
RNAcentral lists this ribosomal RNA (454 nucleotides) under uncultured Oscillospiraceae bacterium. Its description in RNAcentral is "bacterial SSU rRNA". It matches the Rfam family "Bacterial small subunit ribosomal RNA", at positions 341 to 792 of the family's 1533-position model. The record is from RNAcentral. Lineage: Bacteria; Bacillati; Bacillota; Clostridia; Eubacteriales; Oscillospiraceae.